RNA transcript from Cyprinodon tularosa, 1765 nucleotides. It is a transcript of the gene named piggyBac transposable element-derived protein 1-like, with no coding region annotated. The record is from RefSeq and is a predicted model, not a curated record. Lineage: Eukaryota; Metazoa; Chordata; Actinopteri; Cyprinodontiformes; Cyprinodontidae. The transcript is spliced from 4 exons.
GAGCCUGAUGUAACAGUGGAUGAGCAACUGGUUCCAUUUAGAGGUAAUCUGUUUUCAUAUUUGUAAUAAAAGUGAUUUUCACUAUUGAUUUCUUUGACUGUUUUCUGUGACACUGAUACUAAUCACUGAUGCUAAUGUCUUUUGUCCAAAGGUUGUUGUCCUUUCCAGCAGUAUAUGCCCAGCAAGCCAGCAAAAUAUGGGAUCAAGUCAUGGGUGGCUUCCGAAUCAAGCUAUGCUUGGAAAAUGCAAGUCUAUACUGGGAAGUCAACCAGUGGAUGCCCAGAGAAGAACCAGGGGUUGCGAGUUGUGCUUGAUGUGACAGAGGGACUGAGGGGUCACAAUGUGACAUGUGACAAUUUCUUCAACUCUUAUGAACUCGGACAGCAGCUCCUGAAGAGGAAGAUCACCAUGGUUGGUACAGUUCGAAAGAACAAGCCUGAGCUCCCACCUGCACUGCUUGGGUCAAAGGAGAGAGAGGUCUUCUCCUCAAAGUUUGCCUUCACACCCACCACCACUCUAGUUUCCUACCUCCCAAAGAAAAACAAGAAUGUAGUUCUUCUGAGCACACUGCACAAAGACGGCGACACUAGUGACCGUGAGGACAGGAAGCCAAUCAUUAUCCUGGAAUUCAACCGAAACAAAGGAGGUGUGGACAACCUAGAUAAGGUGAUUGGAGCAUAUAGCUGCAGAAGAAUGACUGCCCGCUGGCCCCUGGUCAUCUUCCACAACAUCAUUGAUGUGUCCUCCUACAAUGCCUUUGUGAUUUGGAUAGAGAUCAACCCAACCUGGAUGUCUCAUAAGCACAACAAGAGGAGGGUGUUCCUGGAGCAGCUAGGAAAGGCACUUGUAACUCCACUCAUUGAAAGAAGGAAGCAUGUCCCCCGCACAGAAGCCUCAGCAGCAGUUGUGAAAGCUAUUCAGAGUGCAGCAGCUCCUGAUCAACCUGAGGAUCCAUCUACCACAGCCACUUCCCCAGCUAAGCCAACUAUAGAAAUUCAAGUGGAGAGGGAAAACUCAAGUAUUCACACAUUUUGUGCUUGCAGGAAAUGUAACUUACAUAAAUGGUUGAAGACAACCUAUUGGCCUUCAUGAGACUCAGAUAAAUGGUGAGUAUCUAUUUCAUAAAUUGCCUAAAACAGUUAUAUUUGUUUUUAUUUGUUUUUUGUUUGUGUAUUUUGUCUGGUUGCAGACCAGAGGAUCACACCUGUUGACAACAAACAAAGGUUUAACUACUGAAUUUUCAGUCAGAAAUGAUCGCACCACCUGGUUGAAGUACCUGUGUCCAUAUCCAAGUCAACAAAGAGAGGAAACACCCGAUUGACAACAUGCGAGUCUCAAUUUCAACCUGUGACUGGGAAGACUACAACCAUCCUGAGCAACGUCUGAUCUCAGCGACUUGUGACUCUCAACCCAGAACAAGAAUCCUUUUAUCACCAUUUUGUCUUCUACAAUAUGUUAUCUCUUAUGUGGACACAUACUGUUUGUUUUGUUUCUGUUUUCCAGAUCUCAGUAAUACCGUGAGGAAACUGGACAGAAAAUAGAAUCAGUUCUUUUUUUAACUUGACUUUUUAAAUAGAAAUUGUUUCUUUAAGUGGAUUACUCGUAAUCUGUAUUUUUGUUUAAUUAGAAAUUAUUUUCUUUAUAACUUUCUGUAUAGAAAUGCUUGACAAGUUACACUUCCUUGUGUGUUGUACUAUAAUUUGUAUGGUAAAAUUCUGGUAGGAACAGAGACCAGUAAUUUACCAUAAGUUUUUUUUGGGGGGCA